This 350-nucleotide ribosomal RNA is filed under the name uncultured bacterium. Its description in RNAcentral is "bacterial SSU rRNA". It matches the Rfam family "Bacterial small subunit ribosomal RNA", at positions 358 to 724 of the family's 1533-position model. The record is from RNAcentral.
GGAAUAUUGUGCAAUGAACGAAAGUUUGACACAGCGACACCGCGUGUGGGAUGACGGAUCUAGGUUUGUAAACCACUUUCAGGAGGGAAGAAAAUGACGGUACCUCCACAAGAAGCCCCGGCCAACUACGUGCCAGCAGCCGCGGUAAUACGUAGGGGGCGAGCGUUGUCCGGAUUUAUUGGGCGUAAAGAGCUCGUAGGCGGUUCAACAAGUCGGUCGUGAAAGUUCAGGGCUCAACCCUGAAAUGUCGAUCGAUACUGUUGUGACUAGGAUACGGCAGAGGUGAGUGGAAUUCCGAGUGUAGCGGUGAAAUGCGUAGAUAUUCGGAGGAACACCAAUUGCGAAGGCAG